CAAAGCCAGAUCUGCUGGAUUCAUCCCCGGGUGUGAUGCCUUGGUGGGAUUUAUGUCUUCAUUCAACUUAAAUGGCAGAUGGACAAAGAACUUCGGAUUUCUCCAUAAGGGGUGAUAGUGAUGGAACUAUGCAUGAGAAUCUGCACAAGAUUUUAGGAGAAGUUCUUUGUAUUCUUGAAACUCCAUUAAGGCAUCAGCUAAGGAAUACAGUUUAGGAACAGAAGUGAAAGGUUGGAAGUGUCUUUUGUAUUUCAAUCCCUUUGG
This 264-nucleotide unclassified non-coding RNA is filed under the name Hevea brasiliensis (rubber tree). The record is from RNAcentral. Lineage: Eukaryota; Viridiplantae; Streptophyta; Magnoliopsida; Malpighiales; Euphorbiaceae.